RNAcentral lists this ribosomal RNA (472 nucleotides) under uncultured bacterium. Its description in RNAcentral is "bacterial SSU rRNA". It matches the Rfam family "Bacterial small subunit ribosomal RNA", at positions 329 to 793 of the family's 1533-position model. The record is from RNAcentral.
CGCUAUCAUCCUACGGGAGGCAGCAGUGGGGAAUAUUGCACAAUGGGGGAAACCCUGAUGCAGCCAUGCCGCGUGUGUGAAGAAGGCCUUCGGGUUGUAAAGCACUUUCAGUAGGGAGGAAGGUAGUGUAGUUAACACCUGCAUUAUUUGACGUUACCUACAGAAGAAGCACCGGCUAACUCCGUGCCAGCAGCCGCGGUAAUACGGAGGGUGCGAGCGUUAAUCGGAAUUACUGGGCGUAAAGCGCAUGCAGGCGGCCUGUUAAGUCAGAUGUGAAAGCCCGGGGCUUAACCUCGGAAUUGCAUUUGAAACUGGCAGGCUAGAGUCUUGUAGAGGGGGUAGAAUUUCAGGUGUAGCGGUGAAAAUGCGUAGAGAUCUGAAGGAAUACCAGUGGCGAAGGCGGCCCCCUGGACAAAGACUGACGCUCAGAUGCGAAAGCGUGGGGAGCAAACAGGAUUAGAUACCCUGGUAG